RNAcentral lists this ribosomal RNA (868 nucleotides) under human vaginal metagenome. RNAcentral describes it as "bacterial SSU rRNA". It matches the Rfam family "Bacterial small subunit ribosomal RNA", at positions 8 to 879 of the family's 1533-position model. The record is from RNAcentral.
AGAGUUUGAUCCUGGCUCAGGACGAACGCUGGCGGCGUGCUUAACACAUGCAAGUUGAACGAGAAUUUUUCGAGUGAUUUCUUCGGAAUGAUCAUGAAAAAGGAAAGUAGCGGACGGGUGAGUAACACGUGAGAAACCUGCCUUUCACAAAGGGAUAGCCUCGGGAAACCGGGAUUAAUACCUUAUGAAACCAAAGAUUCGCAUGAAACCUUGGUUAAAGAUUUAUCGGUGUUAGAUGGUCUCGCGUCUGAUUAGCUAGUUGGUGGGAUAAAAGCCUACCAAGGCAACGAUCAGUAGCCGGAUUGAGAGGUUGAACGGCCACACUGGAACUGAGACACGGUCCAGACUCCUACGGGAGGCAGCAGUGGGGAAUUUUGCACAAUGGGGGAAACCCUGAUGCAGCGACGCCGCGUGUACGAUGAAGAUCUUCGGAUUGUAAAGUACUGUCCUUGGUGAAGAUAAUGACUGUAACCAAGAAGCAAGCCCUGGCUAAAUACGUGCCAGCAGCCGCGGUAAUACGUAUGGGGCAAGCGUUGUCCGGAAUUAUUGGGCGUAAAGGGUACGUAGGCGGUUUAAUAAGUCCUAAUUAAAAGGCUAUGGCUCAACCAUAGUAUGGUUAGGAAACUGUUGAACUUGAGUAGAUGAGGGGAAAGUGGAAUUCCAUGUGUAGCGGUGAAAUGCGUAGAUAUAUGGAGGAACACCAAUGGCGAAGGCAACUUUCUGGAAUCAAACUGACGCUGAGGUACGAAGGCGUGGGGAGCAAACAGGAUUAGAUACCCUGGUAGUCCACGCAGUAAACGAUGAGUGCUAGUUGUUGGGAGUCAAAUCUCAGUGACGCAGUUAACGCAUUAAGCACUCCGCCUGGGGA